Molecule: ribosomal RNA, 464 nt
Filed under: uncultured bacterium
Lineage: Bacteria
Description: partial 16S ribosomal RNA
Rfam family: Bacterial small subunit ribosomal RNA
Source: RNAcentral
AACGAACGCUGGCGGCGUGCUUAACACAUGCAAGUCGAACGGAAAGGCCCUGCUUGCUGGGUACUCGAGUGGCGAACGGGUGAGUAACACGUGGGUGAUCUGCCCUGCACUUCGGGAUAAGCCUGGGAAACUGGGUCUAAUACCGGAUAGGAGCCAUUUCUCGUGUGAUGGUUGGAAAGUUUUUUCGGUGUAGGAUGAGCUCGCGGCCUAUCAGCUUGUUGGUGGGGUAAUGGCCUACCAAGGCGGCGACGGGUAGCCGGCCUGAGAGGGUGGACGGCCACAUUGGGACUGAGAUACGGCCCAGACUCCAACGGGAGGCAGCGGUGGAGAAUAUUGUACAAUGGGCGCAAGCCUGAUGCAGCGACGCCGCGUGGGGGAUGACGGCCUGCGGUUUGUAAACUCCUUUCGCUAGAGACGAAGCUUUUGUGACGGUACCUAGAUAAGAAGCACCGGCUAACUACGUG